RNAcentral lists this small RNA (28 nucleotides) under Bombyx mori (domestic silkworm). Its description in RNAcentral is "ovarian small RNA-36634". Lineage: Eukaryota; Metazoa; Arthropoda; Insecta; Lepidoptera; Bombycidae. The record is from RNAcentral.
UUACUCUGGAGCCUUCACUGCGUGGGCA